AUUUUAAACCAAAGGAUUCGUAUAUAGAUCGUAUAAUACAAGGAAAGAGGAAAGAUCGCCACGCUAUAAAAAAAAAAAACCAACGUCCCGGGGAAAAUAUGUCCGCAGUCGAGAGUGCUCUCGACGUCUUAUCCAGGGCAGCCACAAUGGUACAGGAGGAGAGGCCAAAAGCGUCGAAUCUUCACAGAAAGCCAAGCAGUGCCUGGCGGAAAGAACGCAGGCGAGAUCCGAUCCAAAGCGAAGCUCUCGACAUGUCAGCUGCCAGGGUACAUCACCACGCGAGGCCGAGCGUAAUCGUGCCAACGACACCGCAACCAGGAACGACCGUCGAGGACACGGCGGUAGCGGCCUGCACGGCCACUGCGUCCGCCGCGACGGGGACCCAACGAACCGGGGUCAGGAGCAGCGGCGUUGUCUGCGAUCCAGCGAUCGACGAACACUUUAAACGGUCCCUGGGCCUCGAAGAAUACGCGGCCGUGUUCGACGCGACGUCAUCAAACGACAAGGCGACCGGUCUCACCGUUGACGACCACUUUGCCAAAGCCCUCGGAGAGACGUGGACUAGACUGCAGGCCACCAACCGAAGCAAGGACUCGACUUAACCUUCCGCCACCAAACUCAGCAGGCUAGAAUAUUCUGCGUUGGUUGGAUGCAGUUACCAUCGUUCUUGUACUCGAUCCGAAUGGUCAAUACUACGCUCCUCGAGAAAUCGCAGCUGUUACUGGAUCGCUGGAAUAUAUUAAUUGUAAAUAAAGAUAGCUUAAUCAACACUA
This is an RNA transcript of Diprion similis, 773 nucleotides long. RefSeq lists it as uncharacterized. The transcript has 5 exons. NCBI's taxonomy places the organism in Eukaryota, Metazoa, Arthropoda, Insecta, Hymenoptera, Diprionidae. The record is from RefSeq and is a predicted model, not a curated record.